RNAcentral lists this ribosomal RNA (497 nucleotides) under uncultured bacterium. RNAcentral describes it as "partial 16S ribosomal RNA". It matches the Rfam family "Bacterial small subunit ribosomal RNA", at positions 28 to 507 of the family's 1533-position model. The record is from RNAcentral.
GAUGAACGCUGGUGGCGUGCCUAAUACAUGCAAGUCGAGCGAACAGACGAGGAGCUUGCUCCUCUGACGUUAGCGGCGGACGGGUGAGUAACACGUGGAUAACCUACCUAUAAGACUGAGAUAACUUCGGGAAACCGGAGCUAAUACCGGAUAAUAUAUUGAACCGCAUGGUUCAAUAGUGAAAGACGGUUUUGCUGUCACUUAUAGAUGGAUCCGCGCCGCAUUAGCUAGUUGGUAAGGUAACGGCUUACCAAGGCAACGAUGCGUAGCCGACCUGAGAGGGUGAUCGGCCACACUGGAACUGAGACACGGUCCAGACUCCUACGGGAGGCAGCAGUAGGGAAUCUUCCGCAAUGGGCGAAAGCUUGACGGAGCAACGCCGCGUGAGUGAUGAAGGUCUUCGGAUCGUAAAACUCUGUUAUUAGGGAAGAACAAAUGUGUAAGUAACUAUGCACGUCUUGACGGUACCUAAUCAGAAAGCCACGGCUAACUACGUG